CGCCUUGCCAGCCCGCUCAGAAACUCAAAUGAAUUGACGGGGGCCCGCACAAGCGGUGGAGCAUGUGGUUUAAUUCGAUGAUACGCGAGGAACCUUACCUGGGCUCAAAUGUAUGUUGACGUAUUCUGAAAGGGAUACUUCUUCGGACAAUAUACAAGGUGCUGCAUGGUUGUCGUCAGCUCGUGCCGUGAGGUGUCGGGUUAAGUCCCAUAACGAGCGCAACCCCUAUCAUUAGUUGCCAUCAGGUCAAGCUGGGGACUCUAAUGAAACUGCCUACGCAAGUAGUGAGGAAGGUGGGGAUGACGUCAAAUCAGCACGGCCCUUACGUCCAGGGCUACACACGUGCUACAAUGGUCGGUACAAAGGGUUGCCAAGCCGCGAGGUGGAGCUAAUCCCAUAAAACCGAUCGUAGUCCGGAUCGCAGUCUGCAACUCGACUGCGUGAAGUCGGAAUCGCUAGUAAUCGUGAAUCAGAAUGUCACGGUGAAUACGUUCCCGGGCCUU
RNAcentral lists this ribosomal RNA (503 nucleotides) under uncultured Sphingobacteriales bacterium. RNAcentral's name for it is "bacterial SSU rRNA". It matches the Rfam family "Bacterial small subunit ribosomal RNA", at positions 903 to 1382 of the family's 1533-position model. The record is from RNAcentral. Lineage: Bacteria; Pseudomonadati; Bacteroidota; Sphingobacteriia; Sphingobacteriales.